This 468-nucleotide ribosomal RNA is filed under the name uncultured bacterium. RNAcentral's name for it is "bacterial SSU rRNA". It matches the Rfam family "Bacterial small subunit ribosomal RNA", at positions 161 to 606 of the family's 1533-position model. The record is from RNAcentral.
UGCUAAUACCGCGUAAGCACACAGGCAUUGAAAAACUGUGUGGAAAGAAUGCCUCUACUUGUAAGCAUUCGCCGAAUGAUUGGCCUGCGUAACAUUAGCUUGAUGGUGGGGUAACGGCCUACCAUGGCUACGAUGUUUAACGGAUCUGAGAGGAUGAUCCGUCACACUGGAACUGAGACACGGUCCAGACUCCUACGGGAGGCAGCAGUGGGGAAUCUUGCGCAAUGGGCGAAAGCCUGACGCAGCAAUGCCGCGUGAGUGAGGAAGGUCUUCGGAUUGUAAAGCUCUGUCAGAGUGGAAAAAUGGUGAGAGGCCUAAUAGGCCUAGCAAUUGAUGGUACACUCAGAGGAAGCACCGGCUAACUUCGUGCCAGCAGCCGCGGUAAUACGAAGGGUGCAAGCGUUGUUCGGAUUUAUUGGGCGUAAAGCGCGCGCAGGCGGAUCUUUAAGUCAGAUGUGAAAUCUCGGG